GAUGAACGCUGGCGGCGUGCCUAAUACAUGCAAGCCGAGCGAACGGGCGAGAAGCUUGCUUCUCUGAUGUUAGCGGCGGACGGGUGAGUAACACGUGGAUAACCUACCUAUAAGACUGGGAUAACUUCGGGAAACCGGAGCUAAUACCGGAUAAUAUUUUGAACCGCAUGGUUCAAAAGUGAAAGACGGUCUUGCUGUCACUUAUAGAUGGAUCCGCGCUGCAUUAGCUAGUUGGUAAGGUAACGGCUUACCAAGGCAACGAUGCAUAGCCGACCUGAGAGGGUGAUCGGCCACACUGGAACUGAGACACGGUCCAGACUCCUACGGGAGGCAGCAGUAGGGAAUCUUCCGCAAUGGGCGAAAGCCUGACGGAGCAACGCCGCGUGAGUGAUGAAGGUCUUCGGAUCGUAAAACUCUGUUAUUAGGGAAGAACAUAUGUGUAAGUAACUGUGCACAUCUUGACGGUACCUAAUCAGAAAGCCACGGCUAACUACGUG
Molecule: ribosomal RNA, 497 nt
Filed under: uncultured bacterium
Lineage: Bacteria
Description: partial 16S ribosomal RNA
Rfam family: Bacterial small subunit ribosomal RNA
Source: RNAcentral